This 117-nucleotide ribosomal RNA is filed under the name Streptococcus dysgalactiae subsp. equisimilis GGS_124. RNAcentral also lists the same sequence under 2 other names. Lineage: Bacteria; Bacillati; Bacillota; Bacilli; Lactobacillales; Streptococcaceae. The record is from RNAcentral.
GUUAAGUGACGAUAGCCUAGGAGAUACACCUGUACCCAUGCCGAACACAGUAGUUAAGCCCUAGAACGCCUGAAGUAGUUGGGGGUUGCCCCCUGUUAGAUACGGUAGUCGCUUAGC